Molecule: ribosomal RNA, 433 nt
Filed under: uncultured bacterium
Lineage: Bacteria
Description: partial 16S ribosomal RNA
Rfam family: Bacterial small subunit ribosomal RNA
Source: RNAcentral
AACGAACGCUGGCGGCAUGCCUAACACAUGCAAGUCGAACGAGACCUUCGGGUCUAGUGGCGCACGUGUGCGUAACGCGUGGGAACCUGCCCUUAGGUUCGGAAUAACUCCCCGAAAGGGGUGCUAAUACCGGAUAAUGUCUUCGGACCAAAGAUUUAUCGCCUUGGGAUGGGCCCGCGUUGGAUUAGCUAGUUGGUAGGGUAAACGCCUACCAAGGCGACGAUCCAUAGCUGGUCUGAGAGGAUGAUCAGCGACACUGGUACUGAGACACGGCCCAGACUCCUACGGGAGGCAGCCGUGGGGAAUAUUGGACAAUGGGCGAAAGCCUGAUCCAGCAAUGCCGCGUGCGUGAAGAAGGCCUUAGGGUUGUAAAGCUCUUUUACCUGUGAUGAUAAUGACAGUACCGGGAGAAUAAGCUCCGGCUAACUCCGUG